RNAcentral lists this ribosomal RNA (932 nucleotides) under Lepanus sp. CYP3. RNAcentral describes it as "SSU rRNA". It matches the Rfam family "Eukaryotic small subunit ribosomal RNA", at positions 38 to 910 of the family's 1831-position model. RNAcentral also lists the same sequence under 2 other names. Lineage: Eukaryota; Metazoa; Arthropoda; Insecta; Coleoptera; Scarabaeidae. The record is from RNAcentral.
CAAAGAUUAAGCCAUGCAUGUCUCAGUACAAGCCAAAUUAAGGUGAAACCGCGAAAGGCUCAUUAAAUCAGUUAUGGUUCCUUAGAUCGUACCCACAUUUACUUGGAUAACUGUGGUAAUUCUAGAGCUAAUACAUGCAAACAGAGCUCCGACCGGAGACGGAAGGAGCGCUUUUAUUAGAUCAAAACCAAUCGGUGGCGGGUCUCCCGUCACCGUACACCUUGGUGACUCUGAAUAACUUAUUGCUGAUCGCACGGUCUCGCACCGGCGACGCAUCUUUCAAAUGUCUGCCUUAUCAACUGUCGAUGGUAGGUUCUGCGCCUACCAUGGUUGUAACGGGUAACGGGGAAUCAGGGUUCGAUUCCGGAGAGGGAGCCUGAGAAACGGCUACCACAUCCAAGGAAGGCAGCAGGCGCGCAAAUUACCCACUCCCGGCACGGGGAGGUAGUGACGAAAAAUAACGAUACGGGACUCAUCCGAGGCCCCGUAAUCGGAAUGAGUACACUCUAAACCCUUUAACGAGGAUCAAUUGGAGGGCAAGUCUGGUGCCAGCAGCCGCGGUAAUUCCAGCUCCAAUAGCGUAUAUUAAAGUUGUUGCGGUUAAAAAGCUCGUAGUCGAAUUUGUGUCCCGCGCCGCCGGUUCAUCGCUCGCGGUGUCAACUGGCGUGUCCGCGGGACGUCCUGCCGGUGGGCUUAGCCCCCCGUGGGCGGCCCAAUCUCAAUCCCACCGCGGUGCUCUUCAUUGAGUGUCGAGGUGGGCCGGCACGUUUACUUUGAACAAAUUAGAGUGCUUAAAGCAGGCUAAAACAUCGCCUGAAUACUGUGUGCAUGGAAUAAUGGAAUAGGACCUCGGUUCUAUUUUGUUGGUUUUCGGAACCCCGAGGUAAUGAUUAAUAGGAACGGAUGGGGGCAUUCGUAUUGCGACGUUAGAG